This 43943-nucleotide long non-coding RNA is filed under the name Triticum aestivum (bread wheat). RNAcentral's name for it is "long non-coding RNA (TAES_LNC023790)". Lineage: Eukaryota; Viridiplantae; Streptophyta; Magnoliopsida; Poales; Poaceae. The record is from RNAcentral.
UUUUUUUGGUACACGUUAAGCUUGUUCUUCCGAAAUUUCAAGCUGCGCCUUGUUAUGCCGAAAAUUCAAGCUAGCGUCUCUCUCUAUCGUGCUGCGAAACUCCCGCCUCUUCAACCCGCGCCUUGUCAGCCCGAAAUAUUUAAGAUAUAUCUUUGUCUCGUUGUGCUCCGACAACUCCCUCCAUCUCAACCCGCGCCUUGCUAUUCCGAAAUUACAACGCGCGCGAAAACUCCCACCUCCUGUGAAAUCCCGACAUGCAAAAUGCCCGUGGUACCCCUAAACCGAAAGAACCGCCUCAAAUCAGUGGGGGUACUUUCAUAACUUACCCCACAUUUCGGACAAGCGCGUCUCUAAGCCAUGGUUCCCCACUGACAUCCCAUCCGCCCACCCAUUCGUACACCAAGGCCGCGAAAACCCGCGACGAAACCCCACACCCUGCUCUGUCCGCCGCCCAGCCGGAGCCUCUUCCCCGACGACGUCGUCCACAGCAACACCUCGACGUCCCUCAUCCACCGUACCGGAUGAGGAUCCGUCGUCGAUCUCAUCGUCUCGCCGGUUCAGCCACCCCGUCCUCCACCUCCAAGGAGCUGCCCCGACGUUCCCUCGUCUUUCGCGCCACCUCCAUUCCCACACCGCCGUCUUCACCUGCACCACCGGAAGAGCAUCAUCAUCACCAUUUCCUCAGAUGAAGCUGCGGCCUAAUCGGCACCAUCAAAGAGGUUGUACACUAAUCGCCGCAUUUUCUUCUUGAUUCGAUCUCACGGUGUUGCCGGCGCUCACGGUGCUGCCGGCGCUCGGUCCCGAGCCGACACGGCGCGGCUCCAUCCACGGAGGCAUCGCCGGCCACUUCCUCCACGGCGUCGCUCCCUCGGCGGCGACGUCCACAUCAGUAGGAGCUGCUGCUGCUUUAGCUCUCGCUCGCGCUGCUGCUCUACUCUUUCUCUCGGUCCCUUGCCUGGUCUGCUCUUGCUAUUGCUCUUGCUCGCGCUGCUGCUCUCGCUCUUGCUCUUGCUUGCGAUGCUGCUCCGAUUUAGCUACACUUCAGUCGGCUGAAUCGACUUUUGGGUCAGUCAAUUUUCAGGGGGGUGGGAGGCUCGCCGGGGUGAAGGAAGAACCAGCUGCAGUGGAGAGGGGGGCUCGCCGGAGAGGUACCCCACUAUCUAUCUUAGGGUUCAGGAUGGGGCGGUGGUCGCCGGCGGUGGCGGGGCGUUGGCUGGGCGGUGGCGUGGGGAUCGCCAGAGAAAAAGCUCGGCACGGGGGGCCUAGAGGGAUCGCCGGGGCGGCGGCGGACCGGCGCUGGGGAGUGUUUUCGGGGAGGGCGGGGCAGCGCACCGCCGGCCGCGGGCGGCGGGGGGCUGCUGUUUGGCCGGUGGUGGCUGGCGGCUCAGGGGGGUGGAGGUUGAAGAUGAACCGCAGGCCCUUGAUUUCGUAUCCAACGGCUGCAAAAUCGACUGACCAGAGAUGAAAAAGUUAGUCGAACGACGUGUAGCCUCACCUUGCUAGUGCGUUCAGUUUCGACAGCAAAAUUCAGUUUCGACAGCAAAAUUCAGUUUCGACAGUUAAGUUCAGUUUCGACAGUUAAGUUCAGUUUCGACAGUUAAAUUCAGUUUCGACAGUUAAGUUCAGAGAGGAGCGGCUGAUGUAUUUUACAUCUAGCACUUUGUGGUUAUGUAUUUUACGUCAUGUAUUGGAGAUGCUAUUAGAAUUCCACUCAGGUUAACGUUGUUCGUUGUCUCUCUUGUCCUGCUUCAGCCUCGGCGUCGUACAACUCACCGGAGCUGCUCCAACGAUGAAACCCUCCAUCACAGCGGAGCAGUACCUCGGGCUCCAUCUCCAGACGCCUAAGAUCUUCUUCCCCUCCUCCGACAGCCAAGUCAGCCGAAGCAUCCUCACCGGCCAACCCAAUCACGCUGAGCUCGACAUGGCUUCGCCAAAGAGGUUGUACACUUGUUGCAUCUCUUUUUUACUCUACAUGUUAUAUAUAUUGUCCACUGAGCACUCGUAGUAACGGGAAAUACGAUUAUUUUAUCCUACUAUAUGACAAGCAGUGAGGUACCAGGCAACUUAGCAAUCCGUGAUGGACUCUCUUGAACGCCAUCAUUAUUUAUCUCUGCGCGUUUGAGCUGUGCAUUUGUCGAUGGGCCUGGGAGUUGAGCUAGUAUGGCAGUGGCCUGGGUCCAAAGUAAUAGAAGUAGCACAAAAACAUUUUUUUAGUGUAGGAUUUUCCUUGCUCAAGCCUGCCUACUAGAAUCGCCAGUGCUUGAAAGGAAAAGUGAAUGAAAAACAUUGGAAUUGCAAAGUUUCCUAUGGUACUACUUUUCAUGAAUUUGGUGCAAAGGAAUGGAGCAAAGGAAAACUGUAGGAUUGUUCCUUUAGUGUCUCCUUGAAAGAAAAACCGUAGGAAUUCUAAUUUCCACUUCUCCUCCUUUUCAUAUUCCUAUUCAUCAAGCACAAGACUAAGAGAUAGUAGCAUAAUAGCAUUAUAACCAUACAUUUUCUUGUGGUUUGACUUAAUCUCACCAUGCUUUUUUGCAUCCUGUGAUCUUCCAAUUGUUGUGAAUCAAACACCCAGAUUGGCAGAAAUCCUGUGUUUUUAAAUUCUCUGUUUUGCACGUGCAUUCCUAUCCUAUUCCUGUCUAUUUCCUAUCCCUGCAUUGUUAGAAUCCUCAAAUUCAAACAAGCCCUUACUCAAUUACUUCUGUUACAGAUAUGUGUCAAAGAAAACCUUGUGUGGUUUGUCCUGCUCCUGCGGUGCUGUGUUCCACCCCAGCUCAGCUGCUCCAACGAUGGAAGGGUUCACCACAGCAGGGAUCCGCUCUCCAGACUAUCUUUCGCCGCCUCAGAUCUUCUUCCCCGCCGCCGGCAGCCACGGCAACUGCAUUACCAUCAUCAACUGAGCAGAUGACCUUGAGGACUACACGGGUCCGCAAGAGAGGUCGCACUCUUCCGUGUCUGCUUAUGUUAUGCAUCGCUUAAUAUGAUGACAUGCUACAUUAUCGUCGUGUUCACCUAUUAGACUCCGAGUCAGGUCCAAACUAAUGCUGAAACUUGAGUUUUUAAAUGGUUGUGGGGUACAUAUUGGGGGCAGCAAUCAGUACUAUCUGUCUACUAUCUGGUUAAUCUCCGGUGUCUACUAUGAGUUUCAUGUUGGGUGCAAACAAACAUUAAAGGAGCCAUUAUCUAUAUUUUUUAACUAAAGCUAUUAUCUGCCUGCUAUCAUUGGUUUGGGGUCUAUCCACAGUUUGCUACCAUCACUCUGGAUUUGUGCAUGCACUCCUUACAUAAUCUCACUAUGUUUUAUUCCUAUGCAUGCCAGUUAUUGUACACAAUGGAACUGAUCAUGUAGAGCAAAAGAGACGAGCCUUGUGUGGCAAUAAAAUUUCAUGCAGACGUCGUUCCAUGGUGGGCGCAAAGGCAGCCCCCCCCCCUCCACCCAUUUCGGAUCAUAAUCAAGAGGAAGAUAAUUGUUCUGAAGGGGAUUCAGAAGGAGAAGACCACUCCUAUUUACCCCACGAGGUCUUCGCUCUAACUUGGCAUGCUGAUGUUGGUAAUAUCAUGCAUAUGGUGCCUUGCAUUGCUUACUGUAUACAUUAAAGAUGUCAUCUGCUUAGUUUAGACAUGCUUUGUGUCAAUGUCAUCUGUUUAGUUUCUUUAUCGUAUAUGUGAAUCAUGCAAUGCCAUCUUGUCUAGCCAGGCAUCAUAUAUGUGAAUUUUGCAACGCCACCCUGGUUAGCCAGUCAUCUUAUAUGUGAAUUAUAUCAUGCCAUCAUUUUUUUAUUACGUGUUAAAUUUGUCAACAAUUUUAGUACAUUCAAUUACUCUUCCUGUGCAUCAGCCAUUCGGCACGGUCAUGGAAAAAUCUGGAGUGGAAACAAGGUCUUCAGAGCAGACAAUGCUAUCUGACGAAGCGCAUGUCUUGCUGGUUACCGAUAGCUCCUCAGAGGAGGAUUCAGAGACAGAUGACCAGUCAUAUUCCCCCCCCCCCCCGAGGUGCAUGCCCUAACUUGGCAGGGUUAUGUUGCUCAUAUCGUGNNNNNNNNNNAAAAAUCUGGAGUGGAAACAAGGUCUUCAGAGCAGACAAUGCUAUCUGACGAAGCGCAUGUCUUGCUGGUUACCGAUAGCUCCUCAGAGGAGGAUUCAGAGACAGAUGACCAGUCAUAUUCCCCCCCCCCCGAGGUGCAUGCCCUAACUUGGCAGGGUUAUGUUGCUCAUAUCGUGUGUAUGGUAUCUUGCAUUGCUAUGUCAUUUGCUUAGUUUAGACAUGCUUUGUGUGAAUGCCACCUGUUUAGUGUCUAAUUACCAUAUAUGUGAAUUAUGCAAUGCCAUCUUGUUGCAAGUCAUUAUAUAUGUGAAUUAUGCAAUGUUAUCUUGUUGCAAGGCAUUACGUAUGUGAAUUAUGCAAUGCCAUGCUGUUUAGGCAAGCGUCAUAUAUGUGAAUUAUAUCAUGCCGUCCUUUUUUUUGUAUUUCUCAUUGCUUUUGUCGACAAUGUUUGUAUAUUCAACUGCUCUUCCUGUGCAUCAGCCAUUUGAAUUGGUGAUGGAGAAAUCUGGAGUGAAAACAAGGUCUUCAGAGCAGACAAUGCUACCUGCUGAAGCAGAUAUCUUGCUGGUUACAGAUAGCUCUUGAGAGGAGGAUUCAGAGGCAGAUGACCAGUCCUAUUAUCCCCCUGAGGUGUAUGCUCAAACUUGGCAGGGUUAUAUUACUCAUAUAAUGCAUAUGUUGUAUUGCAAUGCUUAGUUUUUACAUCAUAUACACAAUAUUGAAUGCCAUCUCCUUAGUUGACACAUCAUAUAUGCGAUUGCCCUCUGCUUACUUCCUUAGUAUAUAAAUAAUAUAUUUGAAUUAUGUCAUGCCAUGAUGUUUACAUAGACAGCAUGUAUCUGAAUUAUGGCAUGCCAACCCAUUUUCUAAAGACAUAAUAUAGUUGUAUCAUCUCAUCCUGUUUACAUAGUCAUCAUAUUUUAAAUUAUGUCAUUCUAUCCAUGAAUUAUAUCAUGCCAUCAUGUUUCCAUCGACGGCAUGUUUGUGAUUUAUGGCAUGCCAACCACUUUAAUAGACACAUCGUAUAGUUAUAUCAUGUCAUCCUGUUUACAUAGUCAUCAUAUUUUGAAGUAUGUCAUUCUAUCAUGUUUAGUUAGCCAUCAUACAUGUGAAAUUGUGUCAUGCUAUCCUGUUUAAUUAGCCAUCAUAUAUGUGAAAUUAUGUCCUGCUAUUCUGUUUGCUUAGACAACAUAAAUGUGAAUUAUUUCAUGCCCUGUUUUCUUCCCUACUAUCCAUUGCACCUGUCUAUCUUACAAUGUUUGUACAUUCAAUUACUUUUCUUGUUUAUCAGCCAUUUCAAUUGGAGGGAGUGAUGGCAGUAUCUGUGGGAGUAAAAACACGGUCUUCAGAAAAGAUCGUGCUACCUGUCGAUGCAGAUAGAACCACGGUUGUACUUGCCCAAGAACCAGCCCCACCACACAUAACCCACACUCAUGCAGAUUGUACCCCUACCCAGUUGGACAGAGAACCAGCUACACCCCUUCUAACCCCAACCCCAGCAGAUAGACACCCAGUUCCCGUUGACACAGCACCGUCUCCACCACAGAGCACCCAAACACGAGCAGUUAGUAAGGCAACUGCAGUGCCCAAAUCACGAGGACCACCACUCCGAACCUGAAGUCAACGCUUAAAGCAGAAGAAGAAUUGUUCUCAGGUCAGGUUCCGUAGCUAUGGUUCAUACUACUUUGCUCUUGCAUCACUGUAUUUACUGAUACCAACUAAUUUCAAAUUUGAAGGAUCCAAUUGAAACUCCAAUGGCGCAACAGGUAUGUUUUAAACCUGUUUCUUCAACGUGUUUGGCUGUUUUCUGUUGUAACUUGCUCUAUGUUGAUUUCAGUUUCAAUUGAAUAAACAGUUAUGUUCUCAUGCCAUGCACAUUACAAGUGUUGUUAUUGCUGUGUAGUUUCCCACACUUAUAUUCUGUCUAUGCUGCUUUGUCUUAAAUAGAUAUGAUUCGAACUGUAUCUAUCUUGAUUUGGCAACAUAAACUAGAAUGAUAUAGACCAUACAGUGACCAUACUACAUAGAUAUAUGCUUGUUUCAUGCUGUUAUCCUGUCCACCUUACUACUGAACUGGUUUACCAAAAUGAGUUUCAUAUACUACAUUGUAAACCUAAGAUGUGUUUGUUUGUUUCUCUUUUAGAACGCGGAUAAAAUAUUGGAGAAGAGUACCCUGUUAUGCAAUGGUAAAGGAAGUAAUGCAGAUAAGGUUCAAGAUAGUGAGACAUCCCUGUUGGUCUCCAAGAAAGCUGAUAAAAACUAUAUUGAAGACACUGAGACAACCCCAAAGUCCUGUCUUGAUGUAGUGUUCGAGUUACUGGCUACCACUGCUGGCACCAGCUCUUCGAACUCGUUGCCUGAAUCAGUUCGGCUUCUUGAGUCUCAACUUCAAGUUGAAAGACAUUGAUCAGAUGUUAUGCGACAGGAAGCCGAAGGACUGAGGAAGUCCCUGCAGAAUUCAGAUGCAUACUUUCUGGUGCAACAGCAAGCGCUGGAGGACUUAAGCGCCAAACAAGAGAAAGUUAAUAAGCUUGCUAAGCAUCUUGCCAGCAUUAUGGGUACCCAGGAUAUUCUUUCUUGAGCUCUUCUGAAGUGGUUUCAGUUCUGGACUUGUUUUGCUGCGGCGUUUAUAUGCUGUUGUGUUCCCUAUAUUUGCACUGGUGGCGAACUUUGAUGCCCAGUGGAUGUAAUAUGUGUAAUAGCCAUGAUAGCCUAGUGUAAGUUGCUUGCUUAUUUAUUUCCUUGUUGUCUUGUUUAUUUGUUUGCUUGUAGUCAGUGCAGUUCUUUUUCUGCGGUUUGCUAGUGGCUGCAAUAACCUAUUUUUUUAACUAGGCCACAAUAACCAUGGGCUAAUAUUUACUGUAGUGACACUGGGCCUCCUACGGGCCGUAGAAACAGUGGGCCUUCUACGGGUCGUAGAAACAGUGGGCCUUCUACGGGCCGUAGAAACAGUGGGCCUUCUACGGGCCGUAGAAACAAUGGGCCUUCUACGGGCCGUAUCAUCAAUGGGCCUUAUACGGGCCGUAUCAUCAAUGGGCCUUAUACGGGCCGUAUGAUCGAUUGGCCAAACAUGGGCCAAACAGACCGCAUUCUGACCGUAAACGGGCUAGAGUUGGAAUUGUCCGUUCAUGGGCCAACCAUAACGGGCCAUCGUUAAUAGGCCGUAUUUGAUGACGCUAUGAAAACGGCCCAACGUAUUAACGGACCACAAGCGGGCCGACUGUAACCACGGGCUGAAUUUGGCCCACAAGCAGAAAAUGACAGUAACGGGCCAUAAGUAAACGAAUGCUGGAAAAUAGCCCAAGAAUAAAUGGGCUCUGAAAAGGCCAAAAGAUAACAUGGCUGGAAAUGGCCCAACGGAAUAACGGGCCGUUAAUGGGUAUAAAGUGAUACACUGUUCUUUACGGGCCAGUUUCACCACGGGCCGUUAAUGGGUGUAAAGUGAUACACUGUUCAUUACGGGCCAGUUUCACCACGGGCCGUUAAUAGGCCAAGAGUUACAUAGGGCCUCAUAUGGGCCGAAACACGUCAUGGGCCAUACAUGGGCCAGAAGUGAAAACGGGCUGGAAUCAUAUUGGAUGGCCCAGAUGACGCUACUGGGCCUAAUUCGAAUAGGGCGUAACGGGCCUUGGGUUAGCGGGCUGUAAAUGGGCUAUAUGCAAACAGGUCGUUAACAGGCUUUCCAUGGGCCGGCCCGCCACCUUUUGACCAAGUCAAACGGGCCGGCGUUUUCACAGGAAUGGGCCUCUGUUGGGCCGUGCCACGUGUCGACGUAUCAUAGGCGCCUUUUGUCCAAUGAGUGGAUGACAUUUGUCCCAGCGAUGAGCCGACACGUGUUUCCUCCAGCCAAUGAUGAUUUCACACGUGGAAAAUCCCCAUUGGUCGGGGCUGUUAACGGGUUAUCGGAUCCAAAACCUGACCCGAUAGCUUAACGGCAUUCCGUUACGGUGGAUGCCACAUGUCGGUCACCCUUGAUGAAAGCACUUCUGUGACGCGCGAUUUAUCGUCAUGGAAGUGGACACUUCCGUGAUGAUAAUUUUGGUAAUGUCAUGGAACACUUCUACGACAGCACAGGUAUGACUAUCUUGAUUCUGUCAUAAAUUUUUCAUGGAUGUACAUGCAUGACAAAAAACGCGACCUACUGUGACAAACACGUAUCAUCACGGAAGUGUAUUUUUUGUAGUGUUGAAGAUGCGAUGGGAGGCUGGAGCCUCAGCGCCACCCAGGAUGCAACCGAUGGCACGAGGCUCCUGGAAGCCCCCAGUCCCCUCGUCCUGGUGGUGGUCAUCAUUCCUUCUUGGUAGUGGCGGCAGCGAAGGAAGGCCCGCGUUGCCCUGAGGACGGUCCUCGCGAGGUUGAUCCCUCCAGGCGCCCUCAUGAGGUUGGCCCUGCCAGCGGUCCUCACGAGGCUGAUUGCGCCACUCUUGGCAUGGGUCACGGAUGUCCCAGCGUCCUCCGUCAUGGCCACCUCUGCGGUCGUAGCCUCAAUAGUUGCGCUCGGGGCGACGACUGAGGCGCCCGUCGUGGAUGCCCCUGAGCUCUUGGCAGUCGUUGGUGUUGUGGUUGUGCACGUUGUGGAAGACGCGGAAUGGGCAACUGCCCUUGGUUGACUCCGGGUGGCCGCAGCCGUGCUUCAUCUUUGGUUCGGCCGCGAGCACGGCCGCUCCCUUGCGCUUCAUGUCAUUGGCCUUGGCCUUCUUGUCUUCUGGGUCCACGUCACGGAGCUCGAGAAGGGAGAACCGCCCCUCCUCGGCUCUCGCACACUUGGUCGCCAUGUUAAACAUCUCCAGAGCCGUGCAUAGGUCCUCGUGUAUGGCGAGCUCCUCCUUCAUCUUGAUGUCGCGGACUCCAUCAGUGAAUGCCGAGAUGGUGGCCUCAUCCGACACCUUGGGGAUCUUGAGGCAAACACUGUUGAAGCGCUAGAUGUACUUCUGCAAGGUCUCUCCUGGCUGCUGCUUGAUGCGCAGGUCACCCGCAGUCGGCGGGCGGUCGCGAGUGCCCUGGAAGUUGGCGACGAAACGCUCUCACAUCUUGUCCCAGGAGGAGAUCGAUCCCGCGGAGAGGUUCAGGAGCCACGAGCGCGCGCCGUCUUUGAGGCCCAUGGGAAACCAGUUCGCCAUAACCUUCUCGUCACCGUUGGCCGCCUCGAUGCUCAACUCGUAGAGCUGUAGGAACUCAACAGGGUCGGGGGUGCCAUCGUAGCGUGGAGGCAGGUUGGGCUUGAACUUUCCCAGCCAGAUGACGCUGCAUAGCUCUGGGGUGAAGGCGCGGCAGCCCACUGUGGUCACGGGAGCCCGUCGUGGAGGUGGAGCCUGGUCUUGGCGUGGCGCUGCUGGGAGCGCACGCGCCUCUCCUUGCGACCGCUGCACCACCUGGCAGCUUUCUUCUUCAUGCGCCGGUGCCCUGCGCGGCUGGUCGCACUGCGGGGCCUUGCGCCUUGGCUCGAGAGCGACGUCUUGACGGGGAGGUGGUGGAGGUGCUCCGUGGGCCACGUCACCCGCGGCAGGCGGCGGGUGAGGCAGCGAGCGGGAUGGUGCAGGAGAAUCUCCGGCGGCGCUGACAAGCUCGGCGAUGCGGUCCAGCCAGUCUUCGUAGAGGUCGUCGAUGGGGCGGUAGCGCAGGAGCUCGCGCGCCAUGAGCAACGCAACCUGCGCGUUCGCCGGCCCGCGACGAGCGUGAGACGACGAAUCAGCCGGAGUCAGCGAUGGGGUGGCAGUGCGCCAAUCCCGCCGCACAGAAGGGUGCAGCGACGAAGCUUGUUGCUCAUGCCCCGCAGGGCCAGUGGUGGCAUUCUCCACUGGAGACGGGGGACGGCGAGGGCAGCCGUCACCCGCUGGUGAUGUCUGAGCAACGCGGGCGGCAAGGGCGGCCCGACGCUCAGCACGAGCUCGACGAGCAUCAGCCAUGGAAGCGGUGGAGCGGUGGUGGAUCGACCGGCGGAAGAGAGGCUCCGACGCACCCCUAUGAUACGUCUCCAACGUAUCUAUAAUUUUUUAUUGUUCCAUGCUAUUAUAUUAUCUGUUUUGGAUGUUUAAUGGGCUUUAAUAUGCUCUUUUAUAUUAUUUUUGGGACUAACCUAUUAACCGAAGGCCCAGUGCAAAUUGCUGUUUUUUUGCCUAUUUUAGUGUUUCACAGAAAAGAAAUAUCAAACGGAAUCCAAACGGAACAAAACCUUCGCCAGGAUCUUUCUUGGAACAAACGCAAUCCAGGAGACUUGGAGUGGAAGUCAGAGACGCAACGAGGCGGCCACGAGGCAGGAGGGCGAGCCCCCACCCUCGUGGGCCCCUCGUAGCUCCACCGACGUACUUCUUUCGCCUAUAUAUACUCUUAUACCAUGAAAACAUCCAAGAGAGCCACGAAACCACUUUUCCACCGCCGCAACCUUCUGUACCCGUGAGAUCGCAUCUUGGGGCCUUUUCCAGUGAUCUACCGGGGGGGAUUCGGUCACGGAGGGCUUCUACAUCAACACCAUAGCCUCUCCGAUGAUGUGUGAGUAGUUUAACACAGACCUUCGGGUCCAUAGUUAUUAGCUAGAUGGCUUCUUCUCUCUCUUUGGUUCUCAAUAAAAAGUUUUCCUCAAUGUUCUUGGAGAUCUAUUCGAUGUAAUACUCUUUUGUGGUGUGUUUGCCGAGAUCUGAUGAAUUGUGGGUUUAUGAACUUGAUUAUCUAUGAAUAUUAUUUGGUUCUUCUCUGAAUUCUUAUAUGCAUGAUUUGAUAUCUUUGCAAGUCUCUUCGAAUUAUCGGUUUAGUUUGGCCUACUAGAUUGAUCUUUCUUGCAAUGGGAGAAGUGCUUAGCUUUGGGUUCAAUCUUGCGGUGCUCGAUCCCAGUGACAGAAACGGAACCGACACGUAUUGUAUUGUUUCCAUCGAGGAUAAAAAGAUGGGGUUUAUAUCACAUUGCUUGAGUUUAUCCCUCUACAUCAUGUCAUCUUGCCUAAUGCGUUACUCCGUUCUUAUGAACUUAAUACUCUAGAUGCAUGCUGGAUAGCGGUCGAUGUGUGGAGUAAUAGUAGUAGAUGCAGAAUCGUUUCGGUCUACUUGACACGGACGUGAUGCCUAUAUUCAUGAUCAUUGCCUUAGAUAUCAUCAUAACUAUGCGCUUUUCUAUCAACUGCUCGGCAGUAAUUUGUUCACCCAAUGUAAUAUAUGCUAUCAUGAGAGGAGCCACCAGUGAAACCUAGGGCCCCUGGGUCUACUUUACAUCAUAUAAGUUUCUGAUCUAUAAUUCUAGUUUACUAUUUAUUUUGCAAUCUCUAUUUUCCAAUCUAUACAACAAAAAUACCAAAAAUAUUUAUAUUAUUAUCGUUAUCAUAUCUCACUUUUGCAAGUGGCCGUGAAGGGAUUGACAACCCCUUUAUCGCGUUGGUUGCAAGGCUCUUGAUUGUUUGUUCAGGUACUAGGCGACUUGCGUGUAGUCUCCUACUGGAUUGAUACCUUGGUUCUCAAAAACUGAGGGAAAUACUUACGCUAAUUUGCUGCAUCACCCUUUCCUCUUCAAGGGAAAACCAACGCAUGCUCAAGAGGUAGCAAGAAGGAUUUCUGGCGCCGUUGCCUGGGAGAUCUACGCUCAAGUCAAGACAUACCAAGUACCCAUCACAAACUCUUCUCCCUCGCAUUAAAUUAUUUGCCAUUUGCUUCUCGUUUUCCUCUCCCCCACUUCACCUUUUCCUUUUCUUCGCCCUUCUUCCGUUCGAUCUUUUGUUUGCUUGUGUUACCAUGUACCUUCUUUUUGCUUGCAUCUUCGCUUGCUAAAAGUUUAUGGAUCCUCAUCCACUUGCUAAUCUUUGUAAGAGAUCCAAUUAUGAUGAACCUUUUGCCAGUGAGUUGAGUGCACUAGAUUAUCUUUAUGAGGUUUUGCUUGAAAUUCGUGAAUCUGAAAAUUGUGAUGAAGUACUUUAUGAAGCGAUUCACGAUAGACCUUUGAAUAAAAAGGAUGAUUGCAAUGAUUUUAAUAUAAAUUCUAUCGAUGUAAAUUGUGCUAAUAAUAUGCAAAACCCUAAGCUUGGGGAUGCUAGUUUUGCUAUGUCCUCUACUUGUUGCAAUGGUCAUGAUUAGGGUGAUAGUGCUUCUUAUGAUCUUGAAAAUUUAUUUAAGCCCCAUGAUGAAUAUGAGAUUGAUAAUAGUGUUUGCAAUAUUAUUGAAAGUGGUUUUGGAAGAGUGUCAACUUUAGAUCCCACAUAUUUGGAUAAUGUUCAAUCUUAUGAAGUUUUUGAUAAAAGUGGGUUCGGAGAGGUCAUGACUUUAUUUUAUGAUAAUCCCACUAUUUUGGAAGAGUGUCAACUUUGCAUGCAUGUGGAUCAUGUUGAGAAAAUUUUAUUUGAUAGUUAUACUAUUGAAUUUGCUUAUGACCCUACAUGUAAUUAUUAUGAGAGAGGAGAAUACGGUUGUAGAAAUUUUCAUGUUACUAAAUUACCUCUCGUUAUGUUGAGAUUGUUAUUGUUUCUCACUUCUUUCUUGCAUAUGCUAGUUUUUGCUUGUCUUGAUAAUUUAUUUGCCUAUAAGAUUCCUAUGCAUAGGAAGUAUGUUAGACUUAGGUGUGUUUUUUUAUAUGCUAUAUGAAACUCUCUUUGUGCUUCAAUUCUUGUCUUUCAUGUGAGCAUCAUUGAAAUCUCAAUGCCUAGCUAGGGGCGUUAAACGACAGCGCUUGUUGGGAGGCAACCCAAUUUAUUUUUGUUCUUUGCUUUUUUUUAGUAAUAAAUAAUUCAUCUAGCCUCUGUUUAGAUGUGGUUUUAUGUUUUAAUUAGUGUUUGUGCCAAGUAGAACCUUUGGGAAGACAUGGGAGAAGUCUUUGCAAUCUUGCUGUAAAAAAACAGAAACUUUUGUGCUCACGAGAUUAGAUGCCUUUUUUUACUCGAGAGUGAUUUUAGGUUGAUUCGUUUUGCAGAUGAUUAAUAGACAAAUUCCUCACGUCCACCAAUUUAUUUCAGAAUUGUUUUAGUUACAGAAGUAUACGUUUGAUUCAGAUUGCUACAGACUGUUCUGUUCUUGACAGAUUCUGUUUUUCGUGUGUUGUUUGCUUAUUUUGAUGAAUCUAUGGCUAGUAUCGGGGGGUAUGAACCAUAGAGAAGUUGGAAUACAGUAGAUUUAACACCAAUAUAAAUAAAUAAUGAGUUCAUUACAGUACAUUAAAGUGGUGAUUUGUUUUCUUAUACUAACGGAGCCCAUGAGAUUUUCUGUUUAAGUUUUGUGUUGUGAAGUUUUCAAGUUUUUGGGUAAGAUUUGAUGGAUUUUGGAAUAAGGAGUGACAAGAGCCUAAGCUUGGGAUUCCCAAGGCACCCCAAGGUAAAAUUCAAGGACAACCAAAAGCCUAAGCUUGGGGAUGCCCCGGAAGGCAUCCCCUCUUUCAUCUUCGUCUAUCGGUAACUUUACUUGAGGCUAUAUUUUUAUUCACCACAUGAUAUGUGUUUUGCUUGGAGCGUCUUGUAUGAUUUGAGUCUUUGCUUUUUAGUUUACCACAAUCAUCCUUGAUGUACACACCUUUUGGGAGAGACACACAUGAAUCGGAAUUUAUUAGGAUACUCUAUGUGCUUUACUUAUAUCUUUUGAGCUAGAUAAUUUUGCUCUAGUGCUUCGCUUAUAUCUUUUAGAGCACGGUGGUGGUUUUAUUUUAUAGAAAUUAUUGAUCUCUCAUGAUUCACUUAUAUUAUUUGGAGAGUCUUUUAGAACAGCAUGGUAAUUUGCUUUGGCUAUAAAAUUAUUCCGAAUAUGAUAGGCAUCCAAGAUGGGUAUAAUAAAAACUUCCAUAUAGAGUGCAUUGAAUACUAUGAGAAGUUUGAUACUUGAUGAUUGUUUUGAGAUAUGAAGAUGGUGAUAUUAGAGUCGUGCUAGUUGAGUAAUUGUGAAUUUGAGAAAUAUUUGUGUUGAGGUUUGCAAGUCCCGUAGCAUGCACGUAUGGUAACCGUUAUGUAACAAAUUUGAAGCAUGAGGUGUUUCUUUGAUUGUCCUCCUUAUGAGUGGCGGUCGGGGACGAGCGAUGGUAUUUUCUACCAAUAUAUCCCCCUAGGAGCAUGCGCUAGUGCUUGGUUUUGAUGACUUGUAGAUUUUUGCAAUAAGUAUGUGAGUUCUUUAUGACUAAUGUUGAGUCCAUGGAUUAUACGCACUCUCACCCUUCCAUCAUUGCUAGCCUCUUCGGUACCGUGCAUUGCCCUUUCUCACGUCGAGAGUUGGUGCAAACUUCGCCGGUGCAUCCAAACCCCGUGAUAUGAUACGCUCUAUCACACAUAAGCCUCCUUAUAUCUUCCUCAAAACAGCCACCAUACCUACCUAUCAUGGCAUUUCCAUAGCCAUUCCGAGAUAUAUUGCCAUGCAACUUUCCACUGUUCCAUUUAUUAUGACACGCUUCAUCAUUGUCAUAUUGCCUUGCAUGAUCAUGUAGUUGACAUCGUAUUUGUGGCAAGGCCACCAUGCAUAAUUUUUCAUACAUUUCACUCUUGAUUCAUUGCCUAUCCCGGUACACCGCCGGAGGCACUCAUAUAGAGUCAUAUUUUGUUCUAGUAUCGAGUUGUAAUCCUUGAGUUGUAAAUAAAUAAAAGUGUGAUUAUCAUCAUUAUUAGAGCAUUGUCCCGUCUGAGGAAAUAAAAAAAAAGGAGAAAAGCCAAAUAAAAAAAGGAGAAAGGCCAAAAAAAGAGAGAAAGGCCAAAAAAAGAGAAGGCCCAAAAAAAUGAGAGAAAAAGAGAGAAGGGGCAAUGUUACUAUCCUUUUUCCACACUUGUGCUUCAAAGUAGCACCAUGAUCUUCAUGAUAGGGAGUCUCUUAUUUUGCCACUUUCAUAUACUAGUGGGAAUUUUCAUUAUAGAACUUGGCUUGUAUAUUCCAACAAUGGGCUUCCUCAAAUGCCCUAGGUCUUCGUGAGCAAGCAAGUUGGAUGCACACCCACUUAGUUUCUUUUGUUGAGCUUUCAUACAUUUAUAGCUCUAAUGCAUCUGUUGCAUGGCAAUCCCUGCUCCUCGCAUUGACAUAAAUUGAUGGGCAUCUCCAUAGCCCGUUGAUUAGCCGCGUCAAUGUGAGACUUUCUCCUUUUUUGUCUUCCCUACACAACCUCCAUCAUCAUAUUCUAUUCCACCCAUAGUGCUAUGUCCAUGGCUCGCGCUCAUGUAUUGCGUGAAAGGUGAAAAACUUUGAUAAUACUAAAGUAUGAAACAAUUACUUGGCUUGUCAUCGGGGUUGUGCAUGAUGAGAGCAUUUUGUGUGACGAAAAUGAAACAUGGCCAAACUAUAUGAUUUUGUAGGGAUGAGCUUUCUUUGGCUAUGUUAUUUUGAGAAGACAUAAUUGCGUGGUUAGUAUGCUUGAAGUAUUAUUAUUUUUAUGUCAAUAUUAAACUUUUGUCUUGAAUCUUUGGGAUCUGAACAUUCAUGCCAUAAUAAAGAGAAUUACAUUGAAAAUUAUGUUAGGUAGCAUUCCACAUCAAAAAUUCUAUUUUUAUCAUUUACCUACUCGAGGACGAGCAGGAAUUAAGCUUGGGGAUGCUUGAUACGUCUCCAACGUAUCUAUAAUUUUUGAUUGUUCCAUGCUAUUAUAUUAUCUGUUUUGGAUGUUUAAUGGGCUUUAAUAUGCUAUUUUAUAGUAUUAUUUUUGGGACUAACCUAUUAACCGGAGGCCUAGUGCAAAUUGUUGUUUUUUGCCUAUUUCAGUGUUUCGCAGAAAAGGAAUAUCAAACGGAAUCCAAACGGAACGAAACCUUCGCGAGGAUCUUUCUUGGAACAAACGCAAUCCAGUAGACUUGGAGUGGAAGUCAGAGACGCAACAAGGCGUCCACGAGGCAGGAGGGCGCGCCCCCACCCUCGUGGGCCCCUUGUAGAUCCACCGACCUACUUCUUUUGCCUAUAUAUACUCUUAUACCCUAAAAACAUCCAGGAGAGCCACGAAACCACUUUUCCACCGCCGCAACCUUCUGUACCCAUGAGAUCGCAUCUUGGGGCCUUUUUCGGUGAUCUGCCGGCAUUCGAUCACGGAGGGCUUCUACAUCAACACCAUAGCCUCUCCGAUGAUGUGUGAGUAGUUUACCACAGACCUUCGGGUCCAUAAUUAUUAGCUAGAUGGCUUCUUCUCUCUCUUUGGUUCUCAAUACAAAGUUCUCCUCGAUGUUCUUGGAGAUCUAUUCGAUGUAAUACUCUUUUGCGAUGUGUUUGCCGAGAUCCGAUGAAUUGUGGGUUUAUGAACUUGAUUAUCUAUGAAUAUUAUUUGGUUCUUCUCUGAAUUCUUAUAUGCAUGAUUUGAUAUGUUUGCAAGUCUCUUCGAAUUAUCGGUUUAGUUUGGCCUACUAGAUUGAUCUUUCUUGCAAUAGGAGAAGUGCUUAGCUUUGGGUUCAAUCUUGCGGUGCUCGAUCCCAGUGACAGAAAGGGAACCGACACGUAUUGUAUUGUUGCCAUCGAGGAUAAAAAGAUAGGGUUUAUAUCAUAUUGCUUGAGUUUAUCCCUCUACAUCAUGUCAUCUUGCCUAAUGCGUUACUCCGUUCUUAUGAACUUAAUACUCUAGAUGCAUGCUGGAUAGUGGUUGAUGUGUGGAGUACGUAAUAGUAGUAGAUGCAGAAUCGUUUCGGUCUACUUGACACGGACGUGAUGCCUAUAUUCAUGAUCAUUGCCUUAGAUAUCAUCAAAACUAUGCGCUUUUCUAUCAAUUGCUCGGCAGUAAUUUGUUCACCCACCAUAAUAUAUGCUAUCAUGAGAGAAGCCACCAGUGAAAUCUAUGGCCCCCGGGUCUACUUUACAUCAUAUAAGUUUCCGAUCUAUAAUUCUAGUUUACUAUUUAUUUUGCAAUCUUUAUUUUCCAAUCUAUACAACAAAAAUACCAGAGAUAUUUAUCUUAUUAUCUUUAUCAGAUCUCACUUUUUCAAGUGGCCGUGAAGGGAUUGACAACCCCUUUAUCGCGUUGGUUGCAAGGUUCUUGAUUGUUUGUGCAGGUACUAGGCGACUUGUGUGUAGUCUCCUACUAGAUUGAUACCUUGGUUCUCAAAAACUGAGGGAAACUCUUACACUACUUUGCUGCAUCACCCUUUCCUCUUUAAGGGAAAACCAACGCAUGCUCAAGAGGUAGCACCCUACCUGGCACGCCAAAUGUCGGAUUUCGGGUUCCGAAAACCCUUGAGAGGUUCGAACUCUGGGGUGCGUGCGAAGAACUCGUCCUCCCCAGUCUGCCUACUCGCUAAUCUCAUGGCCCAGCUUGACAAACUGUAAGGGAAAGAGACACAUCAGUUUACCUAGGUUCGGGCCACCUUGCGGUGUAAAACCCUACUCCUGCUUUGUGGUGGAUUGGCCUUGAGGGGCUGAGGAUGAACUAGUACAGUGGGAGAACAACCUCAGGAGGAGGAGUGUUCUUGGGCUCGAGUGAGCUAGUGAGUGUGUGGAUGGAAUGGAUCCGAUCCGGUCUCCCCUCUUCCCAGUUUUCUAUGGCGGUGGCUAAGUCCUAUUUAUAGUGGCCCUGGUCCUCUUCCGAAAUGAAGGCGGGAAGGGAUCCCACAACAUCCAAAUUCAAAGGGAGACAACUAGUACAUGCUAUCCUGACAAAAGUAGUCUUCGCCUGCAAAAGCCUCUGGUCGUGACGCCGUGGUGGGCUCGAUGAUGACCUCCAUCGUGCCAUCCUGACGGUCUUGGUAUUAUUGCACAGGAAUGGAAACCUUUGGCUGGUUCCUCGGGACUCCGCGCCUGCGCUUGCCUCCUUAGCGCCAAAGAGGAAACCGAUACACAGCGCCCGCUGGCGCCCGCCUGGCCUUGGUCGUCAUGGCUCACGUCAUCCGAACCUCGCGAGGUGAGGCUUGCAUAGAGAUCUCCGCUCCUCAGGAGCCAGCCUGAGGAGGUGGCUCCUUGUGGAGGUCUUGGUGUCGUCUGCCUCGCAAGGGUCUUGAGUCUUGUCGCUGAAGCUGGGCCGUACCAGGCCGUUGAUGGAGCCACGCCGUGGGCCGCAGGCAGGCAAGUCUGGGUACCCAUGUUCCCAGAACGCCAACAGGUUGUUUGAGUUCAUCGCCCAUGGUGUUGUCUGAGUAACCGUCUGCAAUAGAAAACCCCAAUAGGCAGGGUAAUUAGCCUAUUAUUGAUAAUCCAUGUAGUAAUCAAAUUGACAUUUCUUAUAAAACACACCAGAUAUUUCAUAUCCAUAUAACGGCAACCAGGAUUUCAUAAUCGAAUUACAUCAGAUAGCUUCGGCACUCAGUUAUGCCAUUACACAACAGCACCAUGUUUCACAUGCAACAUCAAAAACCUUUGGAAAGUAGCAUCAUACACGGUAAAUAGACAGAUGAAUCUCAUCUGGGAAACUGCAGAAGCAGAAGGCAAAUAUUGAGCCUUCAGUGAUGUUGAAUGUCCUUGCAACUUUAGGCCAGUGGCUAUGGAUAAUUGCUCGCCCAACCUUCAUCCUCUUCAAGAAGACUUCAAUAUUGUACCAUGGGUGUUGAAUGAAUACCUUCCUCGCCUCUUGACCAUGCAGGUGGUUUGAGAGGUAAUCAUCGGUGAACUGCUUUGAAAAGUACUGAAAACAAAGAUAUGCAUAAAUCGCUGUUAUAAAUUUUGAAAUGGCACAAGGGGUAAAAACAAGGUAAAAGAGUUAGUACCAUCCAAUAGUUGACUGAUGUCUUCUUCAUUGUGCAAACAAAGAUCUUGCUAUUAUUUGUCGCAAGUUUCUUCAUCCUAACAAUAUUUUUGAGUUUCUUAACUUGACUGAUAUCCAUGGACAUCUCAUUUCCCCAUAUGCAAAAUGGGUCGAGCAGUGGGUCUAAGCCUCUGACAGUAGGACCUACAUAUGCAAGACCAAAUUGUAAGAAACCUAAAUAUUAGAAUGAUUCCUGCAAAUGCACAAUAAUGUGCUAUUAGCAAAAGGACCAUGCAUGAGCAAACCUCGAUGGUAAAGUGCAGUGUCUCCCAUUGUUUCCCUGCAACACAUAUAAGGAAGAUCUUGAUCAGGUUAACUGAGAGUUGCCAUACAUGCAUAACAAUACAAAAUUGUACCCCCAGCAAAUGAAAAUCAAAUUGCAGAAUUGAACCAAACAGUUAGAUGGACAGUAGACCAAAUGAACCAAAACAGUUAACUGAGCAUGACAUUGUAGAAUAGAAACAUGUACUAGAAGAUAAGACAGUUAACAAAACAAAGAAUGCUUGAGAACAGUACUACGAAAUGUAGCAAUUGUUGGACCAAACUGUUAACUGAACAUUACAUUUCAGAGGACCAAACUGUUAACUAAACAUCAGAUUGCAUAUUAACAUUACAGAGGACAAAUCACUAGAAGGCACUUGCGGUGGCCUCGAGAAAACAGCACGAACUGUAUUUUAAAGUAGACAACCACGUGGCGGUGUCGACGGUGGCCUCGAAGACGAGGUGCUCCUUCAAGAUCUGGUGGUCGGCACGCAUGGCAGCCAUAGCGACCUCAUGCGCCCGUGCGGCCGUGAUUUGCUUCUCCGCUGCCAGAUGCUACUGAGCUCCUCAUUAUACUGCGUGCAAAAUGGCUGUGGGCGGCACUUAAUUGGAGGACGGGGCCAGUGAUUUCGGCGGAAGGUGCCGCACCGUCGGUCGGGGCAUGUGGGACGGGGAAAGAGGAGAAUGGUGUGGGUGGGGUGUGGAUUACCUGACUAUAUCGACGAGGCCGCGCAGCAAGAAGAAGGGUCGGCGGCGAGGAGGCCGCGCAGUAAGAAGAAGGGUCGGCGGCGAGGAGGCGGCGCUGCAAGAAGAAGGGUCGGCGGCGAGGAGGCGGCGCUGCAAGAAGAAGGGUCGGCGGCGCGGAGGCGGCGCUGCAAGAAGAAGGGUUGCCGGCGAGGAGGCUGAGCUGCCAGUAAGCAGCAGUGAAGGUUUGAACUUGGAAAGCAAGGAGGAACAGCGGAAAUGUGGCUUUUGGUGGGAGGGAGGGGCGGGGGAGAUAGAUAUUUCCGCAGUGGUAGCAAAAUUUCGCUCGGUGCCGCGAGAAACCGGCGCACAAGUGCGGUCCAAGCGUGGGCAGUGGAUUGUAGACGACGAAGCUUCCUGCGUAAGCCAGACAAGAUGGUGCGCCAAGAUAUUUUAUAUCGCAUCCCACACGAUUCCUGCUAGUAAACUGUUUGUGGUAUGCCUGAUUUUUUCAUUAUGUUUUGAAAGACAAAAUGGUGUUACGGAGGGAAAGGAUGGUGUUUGAAUUGCUAGAACAUUUAUGUACAGUGAACAUGCACCUACAUGAGUGUCGUUUUUAAAUUUGGGAUUAUUCCAGGUUCGUUUGGCAUUUUUAUGCAUUAAUUGAGUUUUUAGGCAUUUAAUGUGCAUAAUUAAAAUUUGAACUACAAGCACAUGCUCCAGUGCACCAAAGUUUAUUGAAAAAUCACAUGUGUGUCUUUGGAUGAAUUAAUAGGUCCCAUGCAAGAAUGGGAAUGAAAUUCAAACAUCUGGGCGUCGUGGCUCGGCCAGGAACAUUGAGAAACAUGGUUUUUAAAUUCCUAUAAAUUCAAAACUCGCCUGAAAAUCAUGAAACUUGGCAUGGUGUCAUUUCAUGCACCAACAUACCGUGGUAAAAAAAUUGGCCGCAUUUGGACAAGUUUUGGUAUAAGCUUCUUGCAAACCGGAGCUUCUCUCGAGAAGACUCGUGGUUCCUAAGGGGGGACGUGUCACCUUUGUGUGCGAAACCAUAUACGCUGCCUCCCCCCUUGAUUUUUUACAGACGCAACAUAGAACUUUAUGAGUGUCAUUUUAAAUUUUGGAAUUAUUCCGGGUUCGUUUGGCCCUUUUUUAUACAUUAGUUGAAUUUCUGGGCAUUUAAUGUGUAUAAUUCAAAUUUGAACUACAAGCACAUGCUCUAGUGCAUGGAAGUUGGUUAAAAAAUCGCGUAUGUGUCCUUGGGUGAAUUUCUAGGUCCCAUGCAAGAAAUUAGAAUGAAAUUCAAACAUCUGGGUGUCGUGGUUCAGCCAAAGAUAUUGAGAAACUUGGUUUUUAAUUCCUGUAAAUCCAAAACACGCUUAAAAAUCAUGAAACUUGGCAUGAUGUCAUGACAUGGCACCAACAUAUUGUGGUAAAUUUUUUGGCCGAAUUGGGAAAAGCAUCGGUAUAAGCUUCUUGCAAACCGGAGCUUCUCUCAAGAAGGUUCAUGGUUCCGAGAGGGAACGUGUCACCUCCGUGUGCAAAACGACAUACACUGCCUUCUCCCGCCUUAAUUUUUUUACACAGGCGGCUUAGACCAAAUAGGAGUUUCGUGCUAAAUUUUGGAAUUAUUUCGGGUUCGUUUGGCCUUUUUUAUAUAUUAAUUGAAUUUCUGGGCAUUUAACGUGCAUAAUUCAAAUUGGAACUACAAGCACAUGCUCCAGUGCACCAAAGUUGGUUGAAAAAUCACAUGUGUGUCCUUGGGUGCAUUUCUAGGUCCCAUGCAAGAAAUGGGAAUGGAAUUCAAACAUCUGGGCAUCGUGGCUCGACCAGAAAUAUUGAGAAACUUGGUUUUUUAAUUCCUGUAAAUCCAAAACACGCCUGAAUAUCAUGAAAUUUGGCAUGGUGUCAUGACAUGGCACCAACAUGCUAUGGUAAAUUUUUUGGCCGUAUUGUGACAAGCUUUGGUAUAAGCUUCUUGCAAACUGGAGCAUCUCUCAAGAAGGCUCGUGGUUCCGAGAGGGAACGUGUCACCUCCGUGUGCGAAACGACAUACACUGCCUUCUCCCACCUUAAUUUUUUUACACAUGCAGCUUAGACCAAAUAAGAGUUUCGCUAAAUUUUGGAAUUAUUCCGGGUUCGUUUGGCCUUUUUAUAUAUUAAUUGAAUUUCUGGGCAUUUAAUGUGCAUAAUUCAAAUUUGAACUACAAGCACAUGCUCCAGUGCACCAAAGUUGUUUGAAAAAUCACAUGUGUGUCCUUGGGUGAAUUUCUAGGUCUCAUGCAAGAAAUGGGAAUGGAAUUCAAACAUCUGGGCGUCGUGGCUCGACCGGAAAUAUUGAGAAACUUGGUUUUUUAAUUCCUGUAAAUCUAAAACACACCUGAAAAUCAUGAAAUUUGGCAUGGUGUCAUGACAUUGCACCAACAUGCUGUGGUAAAUUUUUUGGCCGUAUUGUGACAAGCUUUGGUAUAAGCUUCUUGCAAACCGGAGCUUCCCUCAAGAAGGCUCAUGGUUCCGAGAGGGAACGUGUCACCUCUGUGUGCGAAACGACAUACAUUUCCUUCUCCCGCCUUAAUAUUUUUACACAGGGAACUUAGACCAAAUAGGAGUUUCGUGCUAAAUUUUGGAAUUAUUCCGGAUUCGUUUGGCCUUUUUAUACAUUAAUUGAUUUUCCAUGCAUUUAAUGCACAUAAUUCAAAUUUUAAGUACAAGCGCAUGCUCCAGUUUGCAAAAGUUAGUUGGAAAAUCAUUUAUGUGUACUUGUGCGAAUUUCUAGGUCCCAUGGAAGAAGUGGGAAUGGAAUUCAAACAUCUGGGCAUCUUGGAUCGGCUGGAAACAUCGAGAAACUUGGUUUUAAAAUUCCCGUAAAUCCAAAACUCGCCUGAAAAUCAUGAAACUUGGCAUGGUGUCAUGACAUGGCACCAACAUGUUGUGGUAAAUUUUUUGUCUGAUUUGCGAAGGCGCACACAUUAACAAUCAACAAAGUCAUUUUGGAACAAGUGUUGUCAUGUUACAAAUCGGAAACACAAGUAUUAUUAAAAUCGUGGGCGUUCUACUUACCAUUUACGUGCCGCCACGCGUCCCCUUUUUUUAUUGGCUAGGAGGUAUCGUGUGGGGUAGCUAUCUGAGUACGGGAGGCGGGUGAUCAGACCCCUGUGCGUGCUGUCUGGGAGGAGAGCCCUUUGACCUCUAUCCGCCGCCCACCUCCCUCCCAACGUCUCCAUUAAUGGCGCACGAGCCCCUGUUUCAUGGCAUGGCUAUGUCUCACUCGACUGAGAUUUAAGAGAGAAAAAAGAAAAUCUGAAAAUAAAGUUGCAAGGAUCUUGAUGUAAGAUCCGACGGACCUAUAUAGCAUCGACUGCGACUUAUAGCAAGACUGAUGAAUAUAAGGACGAUGACAGUGGAUAAUAAUUGUCUUGCAUAUUUAGGAAGAUAAUUAAAAAGCCACAUGCGGCAACGUCCGACACAAGGGCAAAAGAAGAAGGAAGACAACGAUCUGGCUCGUUGAUAUCUACUUUCUUGAUGCGUUGUUGCAGGCUGCGGGAACUAGUCUCCACGGCGAGCGGCGAUGAGCUCUUUCAUGUCCUUAAGACGCUGCUUGAGAGCAUCCACGGAUUCCUCCACCAGCCUUUGGCGCUCGAUGCGGAGCAUGGAAUUCUCGUCCAUAAGUUUCUUGACAAUGACGCCGGUCCUCUUCAACAAGGCAGUGGUCUCCUCCUCUACUCUGCACUUCCGACGGUCUUCACCCUCAGCAGGUCGCGCUUGAUCCAUAGCUUCGCAUUGCCCUCCCUUAGUUGCCAUAUGAUGUCGGUAGCCUAUUCAAACGAGGCUUUCAUGUCAUCCUGCAACCUCGUCCAGCCAGAGAUCUGAUCCAUCUGGCUAUGGACGAUCGCAUGCAUGCGUCUGUAAGAGUCCUCACCUGCCAGUGAGACAUUUUCCCAGACCGCCGCGGUGCGGGAGGACAUCUCUGCUGCAUUUGCGGCGCGGCGGGACAUCUCUGCUGCUUCCGCGGUGCGGCCGGACCAGUCUGCUACAUCUACGAUGCGGCAGGACCUUCGUGCUGCUUCGGCGGCGCGGCGGGACCUCUGUAAUGCUAUGGCCGCGCGGCGGGACAUGUCGACUGCUUUCGUGGCGAGGUGGGACAUCCCUCGUGCUUCCGCUUCCAUGCUCGCCUCUUCCUAGUAGUAAUCUCUCGACCCAGAACUCAUGCGGGCCAUGGGAGACGGCAGACACAAGGGAACGACGAUGAAUGACUUCUUUGUUUUUGUAGAUCAGGAGUUGAGGAGGAAUGUGCAGUCAUCUUGGAGUAGGUAGUAUUUAUAACCGAGUACUAAUACGCUCCUAAGUGGGAAACCGUUUAGGUUUUGAUCGGUGUGAACAGGUUUUGAUCAGCGUGAAUAGUAAUUGUGAAUGUGAAGGGAAGCAAGUUCAAAAUUUAUUGACGGUUCAUAUUUCAAAGUGCGGUACAAUUCCCGGAAGGCGUAAAGUGGGCACACGUUCUCAGCCGCGUACAUGGCGUUUGCACCAUAGGGUGCUCCGCAAUAGGCGAUGUCAGCACACGUCUUGUUCCAACAACCGUUUGCGCUCGUUAUUACCAUUGCGCAUGUUUAUUUUAAUUAGAAUGUGUGUCUGUCUAGCGCACACACGUUGAUCUGUCUAACCGUUUCCGUUUGUUGUGGCUAAUCGCAAACAGUUCAUCCAUGUGAAGUGUAUGACGUCAAUCGCAGACACCUUGAUCUGGGUGACCGUUUCUGUUGUGUUGCCUAAUCGCAAACAGUUCAUCCAUCUGAAGUGUAUGUCGUCAAUCACAGACACCUUGAUCUGGCUAACCAUUCCUGUUGUGCUACCUAAUCACAAACAGUUAAUCUGAGUGAACUGUAUGUCGUAUAUCGCACACCCCUUCAUCUUGCUGCCCGUUUAUGUUCUUCUGUCUCAUCGCAAAUAGUUCAUUGAUCUGAAUCGUAUGCCCCGCAUCGCACACACAACUAAAAACCGAACCGUGUUUGAUGUAUCCACCAUCGUAAACGUUUUUGCAUAUUUUUUGACGGUUUUUUACAUCACCGUUUGCGAUUAAUGCAUCGCAGAUAAUUUUGCCAAAGGGUCUCUGAUCGUAGUGUCGCAUUAGCAGCAUACUGUAGUAGUGAGCAUGGAACAAUAAAAAAUUAUAGCUUCCUUGGAGACGUAGCAGCAUCCCCAAGCUUAAUUCCUGCUCGCCCUCGAGUAGGUAAAUGAUAAAAACAUAUUUUUUUAUGUGGAAUAUUGCCUAACAUGUUCAUCACAUAUUCUUUUCUUUUGUAGCAUGGACAUUUGGACUUUUAGAUGGUUCAAAGCAAUAGUCUAUAUUUGACAUGAAGACUUCAAUACUCAAACAUAUCAACAAGCAACCAUGUCUUUCAAAAUAUCAACACUAAAGAAAGUUAUCCCUAGCCCAUCAUGCUCAAUCAAUGAUCCAUUCAUGAAACACACUCGAAUAUUAGCUACAUCCAAUGCACAAGUAUGAUCAUAGUGCUCCAUGGUUGGUGCUUUAUAAGAGGAGAUGGACACUCAAAUAAAAAAUAAAAAUUGCACAAAAGUAAAUAGAUAGGCCCUUUGCAGAGGGAAGCAAAGAUUUUUAGAGGUGCCAGAGCUCAUAGCUUAAAUUGAGAGAUAAAAUAUUUUGAGAGGCAUGCUUUUCCCGUCAACGAAAAUGACUGAGUAAUUCCCAAUACUUUCCAUGCUAGAUACAUCAUAGGUGGUUCCCAAACAUAAAAUAAAGUAUAUUCCUUUUUCCACCAUUCUUUCACAAUCCAUGGCUAGCCGUAUCCACGGGUGCCUUCCAUACCAACACUUUCCAAGGAAUUUAUUAUUUGACAACAUAAAGUAAAUUUCUUUUUCAUUUCGGGAUUGGGCAUCCCUAUUAUCGCCACACUCUCGUGCAAUGACAAGUGAAUAAACACUCAUCUUGAGAAUAACACAUCUAGCAUGAAAAACUAUUGGCCACCCCCUGCAGCUUCAUGAGCAGUACGGGCACGGAAAUUCAUUUUGAAAAUUAUAGUUGGCACAUACAAAUUUACUUAGAACGUCACAGAAAUACCGCAUAUAGGUAGGUAUGGUGGACUCAUAUGGCACAACUGGGUUUAAGGAUUUUGGAUGCACAAGUAGUAUUCUCACUUAGUGCAAGGAAAGGCUAGCAAAUAGAUUGAGAAGGAACCAAGCAAGAAACAAAAAUUCUCAUAAACAAGCACUAAGCAUAACUAACACCGAAUAAUGCACCACCAGUAGUAUGUAAUUUCAUUGCAUAACUAUUGACUUUCGUGCUUGCAUAGGGAAUCACAAACCUUAACACCAAUAUUCUCUAAAGCAUAAUUACUCACCAACAUGUCUCGCAUAUUACUAUCAUCAUAUCUCAAAACAAUUACAAAGAAUCAAGUUUAUAAUGUCCAAUGAUCUUCAUGAAAGCUUUUAUUAUAUCCCUCUUGAAUAUCUAUCACUUUGGGACUAAUUUCAUAUAUUACCAUUGCUUCUAACAAGCUCUAAAACAAAUUUAAGUGAAGAACAUGAGCAUAAAAAAUUUCAUCUCUCAAAAUAAUAUAAGUGAAGCAUGAGAGAAUUUCUUCAAAAAUUAAAGCACCAGCGUGCUAAAAAAUAUAUAAGUGAAGCACUAGAGCGAUUCCAUAGCUCAAAAUUUAAGUGAAGCAUAUAGAGCAAUUCUAACAAAUCAUAGCAUCAUUAUGGCUUUCUCAAAUAGGUGUGUCCAGCAAGGAUGAUUGCGACAAACUAAAAAUCAAAACAAGCAAAGACUCAUAUAAUACAAGACGCUCCAAGCAAAACUCAUGAUAUGCGAUGAAUAAAAAUAUAGAUCCAAGUAAAAUUACCGAUGGUUGUUAGAAGAAACAGGGGAUGCCUUCCGGGCCAUCCCCAAGCUUAGUUGCAUGGUUCUCCUUGAAUACUAUCUUGGGGUUCCAUGGGCAUCCCCAAGAUUAAGCUCUUUUCACUCCUUAUUCCUUCAUCCAUCGUGAUCUCACCCAAAACUUGAAAACUUCAAUCACACAAAAUUUAACAAAACCUUCGUGAGAUCCAUUAGUAUAGUAAAGCAAAUCACCACUUUACGUACUAUUGCGAACCUAUUCAUAUUUUAUUAUUGCAUUAUACCUACUUUAUUCUAACUUUACCAUUGAUUAUACCCCCCAUACAAUCCAUAGAUUCAUCAAAAUAAGCACACAAUGCAACAAAAACAAAACAUGUAAAAAACAUAAUAGUAUGUAGUAAUCUGGACUUUGACCAUACUUCUGUAACUCCAAAAAUUCUGAAAAUUUAGGAAACUUGUAUAUCAAUCUUGGUUAAAAGAUCAUAAUUAUAUCACGAUUCUGUGAUUUUUAACAAUUCUGCUACUGGGUGCAAAAGUUUUUGUUUUUCAACAAGAUCAAAUCAACUAUCACCCAACAUGAUCCCAAAGGCUUUACUUGGCACAAACACUAAUUAAAACAUAAAAGAACAAUCAUAAAAGUAACAUAAUUGUGUGAACACACAAAAACAGAAAGAGAAAGACAAAAAAAUAUUUUAUUCAUUGGGUUGCCUCCCAACAAGCACUAUCGUUUUACACCUCUAGCUAGGCAUAAUGCCUAGAUUCAAGUAUUGUCAUCUUUGGUUUUCUUUUCCUUACAUGUGGUUUUGCCAAGAGGUUUUCCAAAAAUAACUUGAAACACAUUGUCCAUAGAAAUUUUAGCAUUAUCAAGUUGUACAUCUUUGUAUCCCCUUUGAUUCCCGGCUACAAUCCAAGAAUAUUGUUGAUGAAGAUCAUUGAAAACUUGUUGGCUCACAUCCAAAACAGGAAUUUCCUUUUUAAGGUCCUCAUCAAAAAAUUGAUUAUUACCAAGCAAAUGUCUAAAAACAUAAUCACUAUUGUAAAUGAUCUCAUCUAUUACCGGUUUUUCACGGUUCAUACCAUAAAAAUCAAAGAUCUCUCUAGAUUCUCGUACUAUGUGAUCAAAUUCAUUCAUAAGAACAAGGGUGGCUAUCUUUUUAGCUUUCGGAUCCUUUAUAACGGGUAGGUCAUAAAACAAUCUUUGCAAGGUAGGAUGAGUAUGGAUAAAUCUAUUCUCAAGUUUCAGAACUAAUGCUGAAAUAGCUUCCGCAUAAGUUUUAGUUCUUUUAAGUAUAGGAGCAUCAUCACAAGUCAAAGUUCCAACACAAUUAAAGAAUUCUUGGAUCAUUUAUUUUCCUAUAAAAUUCCCUUGUCCCAAAAGAAAAGUUUUAGCAUCCAGAUUGCCAUAACGUCAAAAAUUUAGGUGUUCUGCCAUCAUCCAUUCCUGCCAUACCAAAGUCACUCAUGAUGAUAGUUUUGAGCAAACAAAAGAACGAACGAGAAAAAGGCGAAUAAGAAGAAGGCAAAUAUUUUUGUGCUUUUCGCAAAAAAACGUUUUAGAAGUGGGGGAUAUGAAAAUGAGAGGAAAAUGGCAAAUAAUGUAAACUACGAGGAGAUGUGAUUUGUGAUUAGGAACCUAAUAGAUGUUGAUGAUGUCUCCCCGGCAACGGCGCCAGAAAUUCUUCUUGAUUGCUUGUAUCUACGUUAGUAUUUACCCGAAGAGGAGAGGAUGAUGCAAUACAGCAACGGUAAGUAUUCCCCUUAGUUAUGAAACCAAGGUUAUCAAUCCAGUAGGAGAAUCAAGCAACACUACGUAAACGGUACAUGCAGACAAAUACCAAAUACUUGCAAUCCAACGCAUAAGAAGGUUGUCAAUCCCUCCUCGGUUUUGAGAUAGAUUAAAUUGUAUGAGAUUGGAUAAAUAGAUCUAGCGAAAACACAAAAUAAAAUAAAGAAAUAAAAAGUGCAGCAAGGUAUUUUUGGGUUUUUGGAAUAAUAAAUCUGAAAAUAAUAUGAUAGAAAAUAGACCCCGGGGCCGUAGAUUUCACUAGUGGCUUCUCUCGAGCAAAUAGCAUACGGUGGGUAAACAAAUUAUUGUUGGGCAAUUGAUAGAAGAGAAAAUAAUUAUGACGAUAUCCAAGGCAAUGAUCAUGUAUAUAGGCAUCACGUCCAAGAUUAGUAGACCGAAACGAUUCUGCAUCUACUACUAUUACUCCACACAUCGACCGCUAUCCAGCAUGCAUCUAGUGUAUUAAGUUCAUGAAUAAACAGAGUAAUGCACUAAGAACGAUGACAUGAUGUUGACAAGAUCUAUUCAUGUAGGAAUUAGACCCCAUAUUUUUAUCCUUAAUAGGAAUGAUACAUGUGUGUCAUGUCUCCUUCUGUCACUGAGAUUGAGCACCACAAGAUCGAACCCAUCACAAAGCACCGCUUCCCAUGGCAAGAAAAAUCAAUCUAGUUGGCGAAACCAAACCAAAGUUUCGGAGAAGAAAUACGAGGCUAUAAUAAUCAUGCAUAUAAGAGAUCAAAGAAGACUCAAAUAAUAUUCAUAGAUAGAACUAAUCAUAAACUCGCAAUUCAUCGGAUCCCAACAAACACACCACAAAACGUCAUUACAUCAAAUAGAUCUCCAAGAACAUCGAGGAGAACAUUGUAUUGAGAAUCAAAAAGAGAGAAGAAGCCAUCUAGCUACUGCCUACAGACCCGUAGGUCUGUGGUAAACUACUCACGCAUCAUCGGAUGAGCACCAAUGAGGAUGAUGAACCCCUCAGUGAUCGUGUUCCCCUCCGGCAAGGCGUCGGAAAAGGGCUCUAGAUUGGAUCUCGUGGUUCUGGAACUUACGCCGGCUGGAAUUGUGUUUAGUCGACUCCCCUAGGGUAUCUGGAAUAUUUGGUAGAGCUGAGAGGCGGUGGAAAGGACUCCCGUGGGCCCCACCACCCACCUAGGCGCGCUAGGGGCCUCUAGCGCGCCUUGGUGGGUUGUGGGCCCCACGAGCCUCCCCUCUGGCACUUCCUUGGCUCCCAAGUUGUCUUCUGGGCAGAAAAAAAUCUCCAGAAAGUUUUGUGGCAUUUGGACUUCGUUUGGUACUGGUAUUCCGCGAAGUAAAAAACAAGCAAAAAACAGCAACUGGCACUGGGCACUAUGUCAAUAGCUUAGUCCCAAAAAUGAUAUAAAGUUGCUAUAAAAUGAAUGAAAAACAUCCAAGAAUGAUAAUAUAACAGUAUGGAACAAUAAAAAAUUAUGGAUACGUUGGAGAUGUAUCAUUAUGCUACAUCGUGGACAGAUGCCUCAUGAGUCCACGUCAGAAAAACAACCUAUGUGGAAGCAAGAGAGAAAAAAGCUACUGAUAUCAUAGGGAAGCGGGCUCUUGUAGAAGAGGCGGCUUCCUCAUCCAAAAGCAGAGGGAGAGCUAUGAUGCAAGUGUGAAGGCCCAUUUGAGAAAGUAAUAGAGAGAAUCUAGAAUAAAAAUGAAGUGUGGUCCGGUGAUUGCAUCAUUGGAAGCUCGGGCAGCACAAAGGGGUAGCCUCCAUAAAUCAUGCCCUGAUAGAUUGACUGAUGCCUUGUCUUUCUUGCUUAGGUGGAAUAGCUGGGGUAGUAGCAUGGUGACGCCUCCUUAGUACGUGCCCUCAAAGCCAACUUACUGAAAUAUGAAUCCUUCACCUACAUGAUCAAAUCCCAACUUUAAGAAAGAACCGAGUAUUUAACUUAAAACUACCACUAUUGGGGUUUUGAUCCCGCCAAACUACCACUUUCAAAUUGUCAACAAAAAAAAUACUAGUUGAAUCUUAUUUUUUCACUAACAACUACCACUUCCGAAUAGUGGCCAGUUUAGACAAUUUAAACAUGUUUAUGAAAGGCGGGACCCAUCUAUUAGGGAUGACGUGGCAUGAAAGUCAAUUCUGUUUAUUUUGACCAUUGAGUUGACUUUUAUGAUAGGUGGACCCACACGUCAGCAUCAACCUUCUUCUUCCCUCUCUCUGUCUCUGCGUUGGUAAUUCCCCAAAGAGGAGAGGAUGAUGCAGCACAGCAACGGUAAGUAUUUCCCUCAGUUAUGAAACCAAGAUUAUCAAUCCAAUAGGAGAACAAAGCAACACUAUGUAAACAACACCUGCACACAAACCACAAAAACUUGCAACCCAAUGCGUAAGAGGGGUUGUCAAUCCCUCCUCGGCAUUGAGAUAGAUUAAAUUGUAUGAGAUUGGAUAAAUAGAUCUAACAAAAACACACAUAAAUAAAGAAUAAGUGCAGCAAGGUAUUUUUAGAAUUUUGGAGUAAUAGAUCUGAAAACAAUAUGAUAGGAAAUAGACACGGGGGCCAUAGAUUUCACUAGAGGCUUCUAUCAAGAAAAUAGCAUGCGGUGGGUAAACAAAUUACUGUUGGGCAAUUGAUAAAAAAGCAAAUAAUCACGAUGAAAUCCAAGGCAAUGAACAUGUAUAUAGGCAUCACGUCCAAGAUUAGUAGACCGACUCCUUCCUGCAUCUACUACUAUUACUCAACACAUCGACUGCUAUCCAGCAUGCAUCUAGUGUAUUAAGUUCAUGGAAAACGGAGUAAUGCAAUAAGAACGAUGACAUGAUGUAGAUAAGAUCUAUUCAUGUAGGAAUUGACCCCAUCAUUUUAUCCUUAAUGGCAAUGAUACAUGCGUGUCAUGUCUCCUUCUGUCACUGAGACUGAGCACCGCAAGAUCGAACCCAUCACAAAGCACCUCUUCCCAUGGCAAGAAAAAUCAAUCUAGUUGGCGAAACCAAACCAAAGUUUUGGAGAAGAAAUACGAGGCUAUAACAAUCAUGCAUAAGAGAGUUCAAAAAAGACUCAAAUAAUAUUCAUGGAUAGAACUAAUCAUAAACUCACAAUUCAUCGUAUCCCAACAAACACACAGCAAAAAGUCAUUACAUCAAAUAGAUCUCUAAGAACAUCGAGAAGAACAUUGUAUUUAAUAUCAAAAAGAGAGAAGAAACCAUCUACCUACUGCCUACGGACCCGUAGGUCUGUGAUGAACUACUCAAGCAUCAUUGGAGGGGCAAGGGUGAUGAUGAAGAACCCCUCUGUGAUCGUUGACCCCUCCGACAGAGUGCCGGAGAAGGCCUCUAGAUUGGGUCUCGUGGUUAUGGAAUUUGCGGUGGCUGGAAAUGUGUUUCGACGACUCCCCUAGGGUUUCUGGAAUAUUAGAGUAUUUAUAGAGCUGAGAGGCAGUGGAGGGGGUGCCUGUGGGCCCCACUACCCACUAGGGUGCGCCUGGGGGCCCUAGAGCGCCCUGGUGCCUAGUGGGCCCCAUAGGGCCCCUCUGGUGCACAUCUUGGGCCUCAUGGGUGUCUUCUGGGCAGAAAAAAAAUCUCCAAAAAGUUUCGCUGCAUUUGGACUUUGUUUGAUAUGGAUAUUCUGCGAAGUAAAAAACAAGCAGAAAAACAGCAACUGGCACUGGGCACUAUGUCAAUAGUUUAGUCCCAAAAAAUGAUAUAAAGUUGCUAGUAAAUGAAUAUAAAACAUUAAAGAAUGAUACUUUAAUAGCAUGGAACAAUCAAAAAUUAUAAAUAUGUUGGAGACGUAUUAGGGUGAAUAGGGAGGCGUCCUCUCAUGAAUAAUACCAUGUUUCGCACAGAAUAAAUCGAACUCAUUAUAAAAGUACUCUCCACCAUGAUCAGACCGGACUCGUUUUAUUUUCUUCUCAAGUUGGUUCUCAACUUCAUCCUUAUAGAUUUUAAAGUAGUGUAGAGCCUCAUCCUCUGUAUUUAACAAAUACACAUAACAGAAUCUAGUGGAAUCAUCAAUCAAAGUCAUGAAGUAUUUAUUUCCACUUUUAGUCAACACACCAUUUAUCUCACAGAGAUUUGAAUGUAUGAGUUGUAGUGGUGCAAGGUGUCUCUCCUUCGCAGGCUUGUGAGGCUUAUGAGGUUGCAUUGCUUGCACACACGCAAGGCACUUAGAGCCUUUGGCUAAGGAGAAACUCUGGAUUAAAUCCAUCUUAGCCAGUCGCGUCAUACAACCAAAAUUUAUAUGACAAAGACGUAAAUGCCAAACCUCGGAUUUGUUCACAUUAGAAUGAAUUUGGUUCACGACUUUAUUACAGAAAUCCUUCGGGGAAAGGCGGAACAAACCACCACAUAAUAUCCUUUUCCAACAAAUAGUCCAUGCCGAGAUACGACUAGUUUGUUGGUCUCAAAUACUAACUUGAACCCUUCUUUACAUAAAAGGGAGCCACUAACGAGAUUCUUCUUGAUGGCGGGGACAUGCUGCACGUUCUUCAGUUGCACAAUCUUUCCUGAAGUAAACUUCAGAUCUACCGUGCCAACACUAUGAACAGAAGCAUGCGAGCCAUUCCCCGUCAGGAUGAAACAAUCUCGUGCGAUCUGGUAAGAAGAAAACAAAGACACAUUAGUACACACAUGAAUAUUGGCCCCAAUGUUAACCCACCAAUCGGUGGACUGACAAACUGAAAGUACGGUAAACGGAUUACCAUACCCAGAUGACCCAUCAUUGUUGCUCAGAGCAACAUUGAAAAACUUGGGGUCUUGUCCUGGCUUCUUGUACUUGUUUGGGCACUUGUUUUCCCAGUGUUCCUCUGAACCAAAAGUAAAGCAGCCAUUUCUCUUUUUGUCUUUCUUCUUACCCUUCUUUUUGAAGGUAGUAUUCUACUGGACAAAGUUCUUUCCCAUAAACUUGUGGGAAUUCUUUUGCACCACAUUGGUGCUAGAAGAACCCUCUGCCCCUUUCACGUGUGAGUCCUUUGCUCUCAAGUUCUGCUCAACACUUACAUGACCGAUGACAUCGUCAAUAGAGAAUUCACGUCCCAAGUGCUUGAGAGAAGUAGCAAAGUUCCUCCAUCCAGGAGGGAGUUUUGCAAUAAUGCAACCCGCGACAAACUUGUCUGGUAACUCACACUUCAGGAGCUCCAGCUCCUUACCGAUGCAUUGUAUCUCAUGGGCCUGAUCCAAUACAGAACGAUUAUCAACCAUUUUGUAAUCAUGGAACUGCUUAAUAGCAUACAAGUCGCUUCCAGCAUCGGUUGUGAUGUAUUUAGCUUUGAUCGCAUCCCACAAAUUAUUGGCAACGCGCAUAUGGAGAUAUGCGUCAACCAGCCUGUCUCCGAUCACAGUAAGAACGGCUUCGACAAAGAUGGUGGUUGCCUCCCUAACUGCAUUCUCCUAUUUAGGAGCAAUCUUUAUAGUGGGAGACACACCACCAACCUAGAACACGUUCAUCGUUGUGAGCCACAAGGUGGUCCUAGUCUACCAACGCUUAAAAUGCGUCCCGGUAAACUUUUCCGGUUUCAGAGCGACGAAGCCAUGAGUCGAAAAGUGCCUAAAAUAAUGUUUUUGGAUUGUUGGAAAUAUUAGCACUUUUCCGACUAAUCUAAUCCACGAGUAAGCAGUAAACAUGGCAAAUACGGUAUGCAUCUCAUACCGAUACAUAAGCAUGUGAGCACGUACAGUACAUAGAACUGAAACAUCUAUGAAUAGCAUAUAUAUGGCUAGCACAUGUAUGAGUAAACGAGGGAUGAAAAGAGCAUACCCUCCGGUUGGCCAGGCCAAUGCUGCGGCGGUAGCAGCAGCCUCGACGUCGUCCGUGGCAUUCUUCUUGGCGGCGGCGUCUUCGACCACGAUGUAGGGGAAGUAGUAGAAGCAAAGGCAAACGGAGACGGGGACGGAUCGGGAGCAGUUGCGUCGAGACGCUCCCCAAAAACCUUAUUGAUGUUCUCCAGGGCAGGAUCUCGAACGGCAGGGUUCCGGAGGCACCUACUCUCCCGACCAACCGUGCACGCGGUCGUCGGGGAUCGCCGGAAGCAGCACAGAGAGAGGAAUAGUAGAUGAUGGCUAGGGUUGUGCGAGAGGGAGUGAGUGAACUGAGUUAAUUAGGGUUCACUCCACUGGCCAGCGCCUUCUUAUAUAGUCCGUCGGGUAGAUGGGCCUGGGCUCAGGCCCACGACCGAGUCCACGAACAGCCCACAGUCCAACGUCUCGGACAAUGCACUUCCGUAAGCGACUCAUUAAUUAAUCUGAGAUUAAUUGACCAUUCCUGACCGGAAAAAAUAAGCUUUGGCUCGGCUCCCCGUAACCCGCCGCGUGAUGGGGCAUGGCGAGGCGGGUGGUGGAGGAGAAGGAGCGUGUGUGUACAUCUCCUACUCCCAAGCUCCCAAUAGCAAGUGCCAGAGCAGCCCUUAUAAAGAGGUCUCGCUCUUCUUAUUGUAGCAAUAUGGUACUAACUUCCCACCAAACUUCCCACCACUUGUCGUGCACAUUCAUGGGCCUUACAUAUUAACUAGGGAUUAUUGUCUUAUAUGGACCUAUGCCCAUCCAUAAUCCAUCAACAUAGACUACCAGGUCGAUUUGUCUAGCAUCUCUGGAGCAUCUAAGCUGGAGGUGGAGGACGAUGCCCAAACACCCUUGCACAGACUCCACGUAGGCCUACCCAACCUAAGCCUUCAAGAUGAUUAUGUUGUUUACUACCUUGCCAAGAUCGACUACCGGGACAGCGAGCGCGGGCUGUGGGGCAUGGGUGUUGGCUGUUGACUUCAGGAACAACACCAUACAGGAAGUGACGGAGUAUAAUGCCAUUGACACGGGCGGUUUGAUUCUCAGCUAUGGUGCAAGUAGGAUCUCCAAAUAUCUCAAAGAUGCCCAAGCUACUUGAUCAUGCUUUGCUGGUGCCUAACUGCUAUUGCUUUCAAAGAUCUUUCGCUCCUGUCACGCGUUCUUUCCUCCUCCACAAGAAAAGAUCACAUGCUCUCCUUCUCCUCCUGUCGGUGUCGUCGCCGGUCUGCCCCAUCUUCGACGGCCUUCGGGCCAUGGAGAUGCAAAGGACCUGGGCCCCUUCACCGCCAGGCAGGAAGAACCCCGCUCUCGUUCUUGCUAGGUUUAACGUCUUGGUUGGGGUUGUGCGGCGGCGGCGAUGUCCCUCAAUAGAAAUAAUGUCUCCCAUGUUCAAUCUCUAUCCCGAUGGUGCGUCUAGCAACGUCGGAGUGUGUGUGGAGGCGUGCCUCCGUUGGAUCUCGCGGAAUACGGUCUGUGUUGGUCAUCGGUGGAUCUAUUUAGAUCUGGUCUUCAUUUGGGUGUAUUGGUUUGAUCCUUUCGAUCUACGACUCUCUUUAAUAGCCAUGGUUGCUGCUCUGGUGCGUUGAUCCUGUGGCGUCUUACCACGAUGACUUUUCGACUGCCUAAUACAACAAGACCUGCCUAGCUCCAAUGAUGAAGGGACGAUGGCCGUUGCAUGCCCUUCGGCUUGUAGUCAUCACUAUAUGGUCCGUAAACCUGGUUGUAAUUAUUGUUAUCUUUGAAGCUCUUUUUAGUGCCAUGAUUGGUUAUGAAUAAAUCAGAAGUUUCUCCCGCAAAAAAGAAAAAAAACUCCGUUACACAAUUGGAAGUUUGCAUCCCUGGUGUUGUUGUUUUGCAUGGCAAUACGUAUCUAAUUUGUAUCCUAAAGAUCAUAGUAUUGUUGGAAAUAUGCCCUAGAGGCAAUAAUAAAUGGUUAUUAUUAUAUUUCUUUGUUCAUGAUAAUAGUCUAUUAUUCAUGCUAUAAUUGUAUUGUCCGGAAAUCGUAAUACAUGUGUGAAUACAUAGACCACAACGUGUCCCUAGUAAGCCUCUAGUUGACUAGCUCGUUGAUCAACAGAUAGUCAUGGUUUCCUGACUAUGGACAUUGGAUGUCAUUGAUAACGGGAUCACAUCAUUAGGAGAAUGAUGUGAUGGGCAAGACCCAAUCCUAAGCAUAGCAUAAAAGAUCGUGUAGUUUCGUUUACUAGAGCUUUUCCAAUGUCAAGUAUCUUUUCCUUAGACCAUGAGAUCGUGCAACUCCCGGAUACCGUAGGAGUGCUUUGGGUGUGCCAAACGUCACAACGUAACUGGGUGACUAUAAAGGUGCACUACGGGUAUCUCCGAAAGUGUCUGUUGGGUUGGCACGGAUCGAGACUGGGAUUUGUCACUCCGUGUGACGGAGAGGUAUCUCUGGGCCCACUCGGUAAUGCAUCAUCAUAAUGAGCUCAAUGCGACUAAGGCGUUAGUCACGGGAUCAUGCAUUACGGUACGAGUAAAGAGACUUGCCAGUAACGAGAUUGAACAAGGUAUUGGGAUACCGACGAUCGAAUCUCGGGCAAGUAACAUACCGAUUGACAAAGGGAAUUGCAUACGGGAUUGAUUGAAUCCUCGACACCGUGGUUCAUCCGAUGAGAUCAUCGUGGAACAUGUGGGAGCCAACAUGGGUAUCCAGAUCCCGCUGUUGGUUAUUGACCGGAGAGGCGUCUCGGUCAUGUCUGCAUGUCUCCCGAACCCGUAGGGUCUACACACUUAAGGUUCGGUGACGCUAGGGUUGUAGAGAUAUAUGUAUGCGGAAACCCAAAAGUUGUUCGGAGUCCCGGAUGAGAUCCCGGACGUCACGAGAGGUUCCGGAAUGGUCCGGAGGUGAAGAAUUAUAUAUAGGAAGUCCAGUUUCGGCCACCGGGAAAGUUUCGGGGGUUACCGGUAUUGUACCGGGACCACCGGAAGGGUCCCGGGGGUCCACCGGGUGGGGCCACCUAUCCCGAAGGGCCCCGUGGGCUGAAAGUGGAAGGGAACCAGCCCUUAGUGGGCUGGGGCGCCCCCCUUGGGCCUCCCCCCAUGCGCCUAGGGUUGGGAACCCUAGGGGGGAGCUUCCCCCUUGCCUUGGGGGGCAAGGCACCCCUUCCCCCCUUGGCCGCCCCCCCCCCCUUGGAGAUCCCAUCUCCCAGGGCCGGCGGACCCCCCAGGGGCCUAUAUAAAGGGGGGAGGGAGGGCAGCAACCUACAGCCUUGGGCGCCUCCCUCCUCCCCUGCAACACCUAUCUCUCUCUCGCAGAAGCUCGGCGAAGCCCUGCCGGAGACCCGCUACAUCCACCACCACGCCGUCGUGCUGUUGGAUCUCCAUCAACCUCUCCUCCCCCCUUGCUGGAUCAAGAAGGAGGAGACGUCGCUGCACCGUACGUGUGUUGAACGCGGAGGUGCCGUCCGUUCGGCACUCGGUCAUCGGUGAUUUGGAUCACGGCGAGUACGACUCCGUCAUCCACGUUCAUUGGAACGCUUCCGCUCGCGAUCUACAAGGGUAUGUAGAUGCACUCCCUUCCCCUCGUUGCUAGUAGACUCCAUAGAUGCAUCUUGGUGAGCGUAGGAAAAUUUUAAAUUAUGCUACGAUUCCCAACAAGUAUAAGGCACGUAGACAUCCAUCUGCCCAAAUUGAAAACAAUAAAGCAGACACUGAUCAAAUAAAACUGAAAAGAACAUAACCCUAGCAUCUGCACAAAGAAACACCAGCCAAGAAAGAGAAAUACAAUCAAAACCGAAGAAUCCUCUGAGCUUGACACCAACGCCCGUGACCUGUCUCCGGUGCCACCACAGCAGACACCAAAGGAAAAAUGACAGAUUGGCUCAUCACCCGAGCUCGACACGGUUCCAUUGCUGAUACGCAACUUUACGGACCUCCAAGGUGGCUUACCAAAGACAAAGUCAUUUCCAUUGAACGAAUCAGACCAGGGCAACACACUAGACAUGUUGGGUUUUACGGCAGGGUGUGCGACUGCAAAUUAAAAAUUCCUACCUGCAGAACAUCCAAGAACAUGCUACGAGAGAUGAAUCAUGGAUCCUUACCACUAGACGAGCAGUGUCGUGCAGCGGAAGUAGAGUUGGCGCAGCACGUCCGCGUGGAUCGUCUCCUUCUUGUUCAAUCUCCCUCGAACAGUCGGUCGUCGGAUUCCACGUAUUGGUUCACCGGAGUGGCGCAAGUGCACCGCCUCUAACGGUAUCCGCACGUGCAGGAGGAACACCGUGUGUUAGACUGCUAGGUCCGAUCACACAGUCAUCAGCGAGUGGAGGUGGCUACUUGCAACACAUGCAAAGCCCUAGUGGCGGCGCCGAAGUGAUCAACCCAAUGAGUGUGUAGCACCUCCACUAUAUAUAUAGGCAUCCGUCAUGGGCUCAACACGUGGGCCUCACACGGAUCCUAAAGCCCAAAUUCUGUUUGGCCUAAAUCCGAGUCCAAGUAGGAUCACAUCUGACUUGUGGAGUUUGAUCUAGCCUCACAGGUUCCUUCCCUUAAGCGUGUGACCCCUUAGGUUCAAGUCGGCUUGGUCGCAGGUCGGAUCACCUCUGACCUGCUCGGCUGGUAGCGGCCUCUAGCAAGGCGUGCCGACCACCAAGUAGACAAUGAAGCCGGUUGGCGAACCUGUAUUACAUGUCACACUUAUGUUUCCUUUGCCACACAAUAUAUGUUGUCAGGCUUAAGGUGAGUCUGUCAUCCUUGUGCUAGCCCGACAUCUUUCUCGUUCUAGUGAUGCCGACCACAAACCGGAUUAUAUUAUAAUCCUUGUCGCCUGACCAUGUUUAUCUUGGUUGGAUCACACGAGGGGCCCAGAGUAUAUAUCUUCUGAUCGGAGGGGCAAAUCCCAUAUUGCUCGACCAUGUCUCGCAGCAUGGGUCUGGACAAGUCUGAAACCUACCUUUAUAACUACCCAGUUACGGAGUAACGUUUGGUCUGCCCAAAGCAGGGUUGUCACCAUCACGAGUACAUGCGCCAGCUCAAGUCUUAGGACAUAGAAUGUAUGUUGUACUAGAGACUCACAAAUGAUAUAUUGUUGCGUCUCAUAGUUGGGUCUGCUCGACUCAGAUCCGACUAUGUCGAAUCCAACCAGAUCCUUCCGAGUCCAUAUUAUCCGGUUAGCAUCAAAUGCUCCAUGACUAGUGAGACCAAGCCAUUGUUCAUGUCAUAUGCUAGUCUAGUCGGUUGCACGUCCACACAGCCUUUUCGGGUAGGGACCUUUUAGGACAGUCAUCAUAUAAUGCAUAGUCUCACAAACAAGUCACGUACUUGUUGAUAUACAUCAUUGAUAAUGUCCAAGGACUAUCUUUAUUCAUAAACACAUAGAAAAUAUCAUCAUACAUGAUUGCCUCUAGGGCAUAUCUCCAAUAAGACAUGCCAUCAAACUCCAGAUCUGUCACCCCUGUACGACUAAGACGUCGGAAGAGGACACCAUACAUGCCUACCACGAACCACAAUCUAGACACAUGAUACAACAUAUUCCAGAUGCCGACGAUGCAGACCACAAUUUGCAUCUGCUCCUCAACUACCUCCCAAGCUCCACGCCGGCACUGGAGCAAAUGUCGGUGCAAUGGCGGAGCCCGAGGACACAAGUCCACCAUGAGGAUGCCGCCGCCACACCGUUAUUGCUUGAACAGACUGGUUUCCAAAUUCAACCCCAACCAUAUCACGGAUCGCCUCGUCGGGAAAGGAUCUGAAGAUUCUUUAUUCAGCGCCGCCAUCGCCACGGCCGAGGCCAUGUCAUUGAACAACCCAAAAAACUAUGCUACUAAAGCCAAAAAUGAUCCACACGCGUGGANNNNNNNNNNNNNNNNNNNNNNNNNNNNNNNNNNNNNNNNNNNNNNNNNNNNNNNNNNNNNNNNNNNNNNNNNNNNNNNNNNNNNNNNNNNNNNNNNNNNNNNNNNNNNNNNNNNNNNNNNNNNNNNNNNNNNNNNNNNNNNNNNNNNNNNNNNNNNNNNNNNNNNNNNNNNNNNNNNNNNNNNNNNNNNNNNNNNNNNNNNNNNNNNNNNNNNNNNNNCGAGGUUGCCAGGGGACGGUGGCAGCAGACAAGAUUGCCUUUCUUUCUUCUCCUAGAAGAAAGAAAACGAUCGAGGAAAAAAUUGCUUUGUGCUUUUGCAAACCGAGUCGUUGAAAACCAUGGCAUGGUGAUAAAUGCGAGUCCCACUUAUGUUUCCUUUGCCACACAAUAUAUGUUGUCAGGCUUAAGGUGAGUUUGUCAUCCUUGUGCUAGCCUGACAUCUUUCCCGUUCUAUUGAUGCCGACCACAAACCGAAUUAUAUCAUAAUCCUUGUCGCCUGACCAUGUUUAUCUUGGUUGGAUCACACGAGGGGCCCAGAGUAUAUCUCUUCUAAUCGGAGGGGCAAAUCCCAUAUUGCUCGACCAUGUCUCGCAGCAUGGGUCUGGAAAAGUCCGAAACCUACCUUUAUAACUACCCAGUUACGGAGUAACGUUUGGUCGGCCCAAAGCAGGGUUGUCACCAUCACGAGUACAUGCGCCAGCUCAAGUCUUAGGACAUAAAAUGUUACGUUGUACUAGAGACUCACAGAUGAUAUAUCGUUGCGUCUCAUAGUUGGGUCUGCCCGACUCAGAUCCAACCAUGUCGAAUCCAACCAGAUCCUUCCGAGUCCAUAUUAUCCGGUUAGCAUCAAAUGCUCCAUGACUAGUGAGACCAAACCAUCGACCGUGUCAUAUGCUAGUCUAGUCGGCUGCACGUCCACACAGCCCUUUCGAGUAGGGACCUUUUAGGACAGUCAUCAUAUAAUGCAUAGUCUCACAAACAAGUCACGUACUUGUUAAUACACAUGAUUGAUAAUGUCCAAGGACUAUCUUUAUUCAUAAACACAUAGAAAAUAUCAUCAUACAUGAUUGCCUCUAGGGCAUAUCUCCAAUAAGACAUGCCAUCAAACUUCAGAUUUGUUACACUCGUACGACUAAGACGUCGGAAGAGGACACCAUACAUGCCUACCACGAACCACAAUCCAGACACAUGAUACAACAUAUUCCAGAUGCCGACGAUGCAGACCACAAUUUGCAUCCGCUCCUCAACUACCUCCCAAGCUCCACGCCGGUGCUGGAGCAAAUGCCGGUGCAACGGCGGAGCCCGAGGACACAAGUCCACCACGAGGAUGCCGCCGCCACACCGUCAUUGCUUGAACAGACUGGUUUCCAAAUUCAACCCCAACCAUAUCACAGAUCGCCUCGUCGGGAAAGGAUCUGAAGAUUCUUUAUUCAGCACCGCCAUCGCCACGGCCGAGGCCAUGUCAUUGAACAAUCCAAAAACCUAAGCUACUAGAGCCGAAAAUGAUCCACACGCGUGGAUCCGAUGGCCCCCCUCGCCACCGAUGACCGAGGUCGCCGGGGGACGGCGGCAGCAGACAAGAUUGCCUUUCUUUCUUCUCCUAGAAGAAAGAAAACGAUCGAGGAAAAAAUUGCUUUGUGCCUUUGCAAACCUAGUCGUUGAAAACCAUGGNNNNNNNNNNNNNNNNNNNNNNNNNNNNNNNNNNNNNNNNNNNNNNNNNNNNNNNNNNNNNNNNNNNNNNNNNNNNNNNNNNNNNNNNNNNNNNNNNNNNNNNNNNNNNNNNNNNNNNNNNNNNNNNNNNNNNNNNNNNNNNNNNNNNNNNNNNNNNNNNNNNNNNNNNNNNNNNNNNNNNNNNNNNNNNNNNNNNNNNNNNNNNNNNNNNNNNNNNNNNNNNNNNNNNNNNNNNNNNNNNNNNNNNNNNNNNNNNNUAUGGUAAGUUAAGUCAAUAAAAUUCCAAGUGUCAAGUCAAAAAAGAGAGAAGAUUAAAAUAAGAGGUCAAAGGAGAAAGCUCAUGAAGAAAGAAGCCCAUCAUAGUGGAUGGAUGGAAGUGUUGAAAGUUAGAUGGUUUUUAGGCACAUAUAACAAAUAAUCUCUAGAUAAAUCGCAUAUGCCCAUUUGUGGUUUCAUGAUUCUUUGGACAAAAAAUAUGUGGUUUCACUUUCAUGACAUGAUGUGAAGUGACUGAAUACAAGUAAAAGGAUGCAACUUAUAUACAACAAAACCAGACAACUUACAAAUAGCAAAGAAUAUAUUGAACAGGGCCUCCGCUUUUCUUAACAGAGCACUGUAACACGACCCAAGUAAGCGUCGCUUACAGAUAUUUGAGCAAUUUUCCAUGGUGAUUUUACAAAAGUUUCCUCUUGAUGCUAAACUAUAGCUCUAACUGAGUCAAAUACUCUGCAAACAAAUCGAAAUACAACACCCAUGUCAAACAUAGCCGAUCAGAAUUCAGACUUGACAUGAUCUCAGUCCAGCAAUUUAAAGCCAGACCCUUGUCAAUGAGCGCCCCAGUAGGGUAUGACGCCCGCGUUGACGCCGACCAUAAAGCCAACCCACAAAAAGAGAGCCACGUAAAACAGGCCGGUCGCCAGCGGCGAGCAGGGCCACGGGCACGCCGGCGCGAAGCCGUCGCCCUCGUCGCGCGCGCCGUCCUCCACCUUCGAGUACGCCCUCCUGGCCGCCAGGAACUGCUGCUCGUCGUCGAAGUAGGCCGCCGAGCCGCUGUGGUACCAGUAGCCGCCCACCGGCCCCUGGAACGCGCCCAGCGGCGGCAGCCUGGGGCACGCCCGCGGCCCGCCACCGCCGGACCUGGUGACGAGCACGGUGGGGCAGGGCUCCCUGCAGAUGCAGCACCGGCGGCUGGCGUGCUGGGGCUUGGAGCCGACGCGCAUGCGGACCGCGCAGUCCGAGCAGACCUCGCGGUGGCCGCACGGCCCGAUCGCCACCCACUCGAGCGGCUCCAUGCACACCCCGCACUCGGACGGCUCGGAGGGCGCCGCGUCGACGUCGACGGCGUGGCGGGGAUCGGCCGGGGUGGCGAGCUUGUCGCCGACGCGUUUGGCUCCGCCGACGUCGAUGUCGAUGACGUGGCUUGGAUUGCUUGGAGAGGCGAGCUGAUGGUCUGCGAGAGGCCCCGUGUGUUUGGCGCCUCCGCCGACGUCCAUGUCGAUGGCGUGGCCGCCGUCGACCUGAGCCAUGGUCGAGUUUACUACACGAUCGAUGGAGAGUAGUUACGUCGCUGUACCUCUAUGCCCUAGACUAGCAGAGUCUGAAUUCCCAUGGCGACGCUUGCUAAUUGCACCCAAUGUCAUGUACGUACACGGCAUAUAUAGGCUCGUGAUCCGACACCCGGCUGAACUGGCUUCCGGUUCGAAUUAACGUGGGGAAGAAGCGUUGAUGAUCGGACUAGGAAGAGGGUUAGACCAUCGAUCCGACUCGAUCGCAUCAUCAGAGCUGACCGCAGUGCGCACGGGAUGCAGGGACCAAUGACAACGUGGAUUUAAGAUUUUUUGCAAAGAAGUCCAGAAAUUCACGGUGGAUUUAUGAGUUUUUGUUUUGCAAAAAGUAGGGACUUCAUCUAGAAAAAGACAUUCAGAGAAACAGUAGGCAUUUUAGUUUCCAGGGGGGAUAGAGAGAGAGCCAUACACAGCAUCAACAAACAUUCAGAAGGGUUUUUAAUGGUAUCGUACAUCAUCUCUGCUGCUAAGCAUAUAGAAUGACUUUGACAAAAUUUCUACUUUUUCUAUCAAGAGGCGCAACGAGUUGCACGGCUGACAAAAAUCUUCCGGUAUACAAAUUCACUUCCGAGUCUCUCUCAUCAACCGCGAGAAAAUAGUAGUAGAAACUACAAACUAACACUUACGGAACACAUGAUUAAUCUCUAACCAGCGUCAGACAUCUUAAAACCGCCUUUGCUCCCUCGGCUUCGACUCUGCGACGGUAACCCGGAUCUGCCUGCCGUCGAGGUCCUACAGAACAAAAUCAUGCACUGAAUUAGCAUAGCUAUUCAGAAAACAAUGUGAAGGAACUGUACAAUUCACAUUAAACAAUUCAAACUCGACACUGAACAUAAUACUAUACAAGAACUUACCACGCCGUCGAGGUUCGAGAUUGCAUUGUUGACCUCAUCAGCAGAGCCAUAGGUAACGAAACCAAAGCCCCUCGACCUGCCGCUGUCACGGUCAUAGAUGACCUUGGCAUCA